GACGAACGCUGGCGGCGUGCUUAACACAUGCAAGUCGAACGGAAAGGCCCUUUUGGGGGUCCUCGAGUGGCGAACGGGUGAGUAACACGUGCGUAACCUGCCCUUGCUUUCGUGUUAACUUCAUGAAACUGGGGCUAAUACCGGCUAGGAAUCCUUGCUGCAUGGUGGGGGUUGGAAAGCUUGGGGGGUUUUGGAUGGAUUGGCGGCCUAUCAGCUUGUUGGUGGGGUAGUGGCUUACCUAGGCUUUGACGGGUAGCCGGCCUGAGAGGGCGACCGGCCACAUUGGGACUGAGAGACGGCCCAGACUCCUACGGGAGGAAACAGGGGGGAAUAUUGCACAAGGGGCGGAAGCCGGAUGCAGCAACGCCGCGGGCGGGAAGACGGCCUUCGGGUUGGAAAACGCUUUCAGCAGGGGCGAAGCUUGUGGUGACGGUACCUGCAGAAGAAGCACCGGCUAACUACGUG
Molecule: ribosomal RNA, 465 nt
Filed under: uncultured bacterium
Lineage: Bacteria
Description: partial 16S ribosomal RNA
Rfam family: Bacterial small subunit ribosomal RNA
Source: RNAcentral